CAGUAGCCGCGGGAAUACGUAGGGUGCAAGCGUUAAUCGGAAUUACUGGGCGUAAAGCGUGCGCAGGCGGUUAUAUAAGACAGAUGUGAAAUCCCCGGGCUCAACCUGGGAACUGCAUUUGUGACUGUAUAGCUAGAGUACGGCAGAGGGGGAUGGAAUUCCGCGUGUAGCAGUGAAAUGCGUAGAUAUGCGGAGGAACACCGAUGGCGAAGGCAAUCCCCUGGGCCUGUACUGACGCUCAUGCAGGAAAGCGUGGGGAGCAAACAGGAUUAGAUACCCCCGUAGUCCCUGUCUCUUAUAC
Molecule: ribosomal RNA, 301 nt
Filed under: uncultured bacterium
Lineage: Bacteria
Description: partial 16S ribosomal RNA
Rfam family: Bacterial small subunit ribosomal RNA
Source: RNAcentral